This 659-nucleotide long non-coding RNA is filed under the name Homo sapiens (human). RNAcentral's name for it is "HSALNT0245112". The record is from RNAcentral. Lineage: Eukaryota; Metazoa; Chordata; Mammalia; Primates; Hominidae.
CCAGUGCACAGUCCACACCCACGGGGUGGGUUUUUCCAGGCACCUCUGGCGCCCCAGUGAUGCCUCGUGGUUUGGUUUGCCUCCUCUUAGGAAGGGACUAAACAACAGAUUCCUGGUGAGGCCAGCGUGAGAGGUCAGUGAAGGUCAUCGUACGGGUUGGCAGCAUUGGCACCGCACCCGCUGAGCUCGUGCUGCCCUUUGCCGGGUGCCGUCUGUGGGGCUCUCCUUUCCUCUUCCACGGCCACUCCUCAAAUGCCUCUUCAAAUGCUGUCCCUGCCCAGUGGCGUUCUCUGCACCCACAAGGGACCUGCUGAUUCCAUCAGGCAGCCUCCUUUUGCAGGCACAAGCCAAAGGUCAAAAUUCCAGUUCAGUGAAAGAAGGUCCUCCUGCCUUCGAGCUCAUGGUGCCAGCCUCUCACAGGGGCCUUCGGUGUGCUCAGAUGGAAAUGAAGGAAGCCAGAAGUGAAGCGACCAGCUCAGGUGAUACAGCUAGAAAGUGCUUUAGAGCUGGGGCCAUGGGCAGAUGAGCUGACCACAGGUCACACUCCUGACACCAAACCUGGCUCUGCGAAGAUGAUGUCGAAGAACUCCUCCUCGGCCUUGCUGACCAGCGCCUCCAGGUCUACGGCCAGCUCCUCAUCGGUCUGCUCCUCAUCCCUG